RNAcentral lists this long non-coding RNA (293 nucleotides) under Nicotiana benthamiana. RNAcentral's name for it is "long non-coding RNA (NBEN_LNC002987)". Lineage: Eukaryota; Viridiplantae; Streptophyta; Magnoliopsida; Solanales; Solanaceae. The record is from RNAcentral.
UCCUAGCCAAAUUCUAUUAUAAUGACUAAGCCCACUAACUGAACGACUGAUCCCACAUUAGCUAGAGUGAAUCUGAGCAUUUAAUUUGUACUAAGCUAGACUUGAUUUUGGCCGUUGAUUUGCACUACACGUGCCAUUCUUAUAUAGGCACGUGGUCUUCUAUUCUCAACCCUAAUACGCUACUUUCCCAAUCGACAAAGAAUUCGGCCAACUCCCAGAACUUUACAUAAUGGAGUUUAGAUAGCUUGGAAAACAAAUGAGCAGUAUUGUCAAAUUUGCCAUCUAAAGUUUGA